RNAcentral lists this ribosomal RNA (253 nucleotides) under uncultured bacterium. RNAcentral's name for it is "partial 16S ribosomal RNA". It matches the Rfam family "Bacterial small subunit ribosomal RNA", at positions 524 to 776 of the family's 1533-position model. The record is from RNAcentral.
UACAGAGGGUGCAAACGUUGCUCGGAAUCAUUGGGCGUAAAGCGCACGUAGGCGGCCCAGCAAGUGGGGAGUGAAAGCCCUCGGCUUAACCGAGGAAGUGCUUUCCAAACUACUGGGCUUGAAUACUGGAGAGGGUCGCGGAAUUCCCGGUGUAGAGGUGAAAUUCGUAGAUAUCGGGAGGAGCACCAGUGGCGAAGGCGGCGACCUGGACAGAUAUUGACGCUGAGGUGCGAAAGCGUGGGGAGCAAACAGG